Long non-coding RNA from Anneissia japonica, 510 nucleotides. RefSeq lists it as uncharacterized. The record is from RefSeq and is a predicted model, not a curated record. The transcript is spliced from 2 exons. NCBI's taxonomy places the organism in Eukaryota, Metazoa, Echinodermata, Crinoidea, Comatulida, Comatulidae.
CAUAAAAUGUUGUUUCAGAUUAUUUAUUCAAUUUAUUUUAUUUAUAUCCAAUUCUAGCCAUUAGCAAAUCAUCGACAAUUGCUUAAAAUGACCUAACUACUAACAAUACAAAAUACAAUAGAAUAAUACAUUUAGUAAUACAUUCACAAGUGUACAUUAAUCCUCAAAUAAAUUAACAUGAGGACCAGGCUUAAGCUAUGUGAUAAAAGGAUGUAAACACUUUCCAAACAAUAUUAGAGAAAAUGUUAUCUCUAUUAAUAAGGGGAAAUAUUGCAAAAGAAUUAAGAAGUAAAACAGUUUACAAACAUCAAUUCUAACAUAAUUAAGGACAUUAAACCUAAGACAAGAACGAAAUGUUUAGUAAUUAAGAUGAAAAUAACUCAAAAAUUCUACAUCGCAACUAGAAGAAAAUUGGACUUAUAAAGAGACAAUAUAAUGCAAUAAAAUAUAUGCCUAUAGAGAAAACUAAUGAUUCAAAGUAACAUCUAUUUUCUUCAAAAUGAAAAAAAA